This 492-nucleotide ribosomal RNA is filed under the name uncultured bacterium. Its description in RNAcentral is "bacterial SSU rRNA". It matches the Rfam family "Bacterial small subunit ribosomal RNA", at positions 29 to 516 of the family's 1533-position model. The record is from RNAcentral.
AUUGAACGCUGGCGGCGUGCCUAACACAUGCAAGUCGAGCGGCAGCGCGGGAGCAAUCCUGGCGGCGAGCGGCGGACGGGUGAGUAACGCUUGGGAAUCUGCCUGUUAGUGGGGGACAACCCGGGGAAACUCGGGCUAAUACCGCAUACGCACUACGGUGGAAAGCCGGGGACCGCAAGGCCUGGCGCUAACAGAUGAGCCCAAGUCGGAUUAGCUAGUUGGUAGGGUAACGGCCACCAAGGCGACGAUCCGUAACUGGUCUGAGAGGACGACCAGUCACACCGGAACUGAGACACGGUCCGGACUCCUACGGGAGGCAGCAGUGGGGAAUAUUGGACAAUGGGGGAAACCCUGAUCCAGCGACGCCGCGUGGGUGAAGAAGGCCUGCGGGUUGUAAAGCCCUUUCAGUGGGGAAGAAAAGCCUCGACCUAACACGUCGGGGUCUUGACGUAACCCAUAGAAGAAGCACCGGCUAACUCUGUGCCAGCAGCC